This is a non-coding RNA of Bombyx mori (domestic silkworm), 84 nucleotides long. The record is from Rfam. NCBI's taxonomy places the organism in Eukaryota, Metazoa, Arthropoda, Insecta, Lepidoptera, Bombycidae.
UUAACUCAAAUUUGUAUGAAGUUGGAAAGUUUGCCUACGUUUGCCGCCAGGGGCGCUGAUCCAACUGUAUACAAAUUUGAAUUA